Brassica oleracea var. oleracea is the source of this 128-nucleotide microRNA precursor. It matches the Rfam family "MIR408 microRNA precursor family". The record is from Rfam. NCBI's taxonomy places the organism in Eukaryota, Viridiplantae, Streptophyta, Magnoliopsida, Brassicales, Brassicaceae.
AAGUGGUAACCAGAGAGAGACAGGGAACAAGCAGAGCAUGGAUUGAGUUUUUACCAAAACAUCAAAUGACUAUGUUUGGUCUCUUCCCAUGCACUGCCUCUUCCCUGGCUCCCUCUUUCUUUGUCUCC